GGGCUCCAUGUCGGGCGUUCCGUCUCAUCUUGUAGCUGUUCCUAAUAACUACAUCAGGCCAGCGAGAGGAGCGGGGAGCUGACACCUUCCAUGAAACAGCUGCGGAGACGGGGCCCUGGGGAGGCCCAGCUGAUGGGCGGAGGAGAAAUGGAACAUGGCGUGGGGGCCAGUGCAAAUGGCUCACGAGGGCUGCUGCGUGGUAAUUAUCAGUGGCCAGCUGCUGGAGCAGACCGCAGCUGCCCUGCACUCCGGGGGACCGGCCGAGCUGCCACUUGGGGCUGCCACACCAAGGAGCCCAGCACCAGAAAUAAGCCAGG
Molecule: long non-coding RNA, 317 nt
Filed under: Cavia porcellus (domestic guinea pig)
Lineage: Eukaryota; Metazoa; Chordata; Mammalia; Rodentia; Caviidae
Description: lncRNA (ENSCPOG00000031654.1)
Source: RNAcentral